This 329-nucleotide ribosomal RNA is filed under the name uncultured eukaryote. RNAcentral's name for it is "partial 18S ribosomal RNA". It matches the Rfam family "Eukaryotic small subunit ribosomal RNA", at positions 1470 to 1796 of the family's 1831-position model. The record is from RNAcentral.
CCCUUAGAUGUCCUGGGCCGCACGCGCGCUACACUGUUUGAUUCAGCGAGUCUUAACCUUGACCGAAAGGUUUGGGUAAUCUUCUAAAGUCAAACGUGAUGGGGAUCGAUCAUUGCAAUUAUUGAUCGUGAACGAGGAAUUCCUAGUAAAUGCAAGUCAUCAGCUUGCGUUGAUUACGUCCCUGCCCUUUGUACACACCGCCCGUCGCUACUACCGAUUGAAUGGUUUAGUGAGAUCUCCGGAUUGGCUCUGUAGGUCCCGCAAGGGAUUUAUUAGUAGCCAAGAAGCUGCUCAAACUUGAUCAUUUAGAGGAAGUAAAAGUCGUAACA